UAUUGAAGUACGCUGCCCUUUGUAGGCGUGCAUUUAAAUAAUGUAUCAUUUGAUGAUUCGCUUCCACUCAGCACUAAGGCAGUAGCUAUCCGAACGGAUCCGAACGGAUAGCAACCGCCUCACCCAAACUGGAACUCACUUUACCAAUGACGGUGUGAUUGAUAGGAGUCAACCUUCCACAAGUGCCAGUGUGUACGAGCAUGCAGCAGCACACUGCGCGUUCCUCGGCCGAGCGCGAGAAUAAUCGAACGCCUUCUCCUUGCAGCGUCGGCCAAAAGGGGCAUGAACAACUCAAUCAUGUUUCUUCAUCUCCUCUCACGAAAAACGAUCAGUCAACGGCAACCGGGCCGAGCUCAUCAAAGCUCGCCAACUCCCCGAAACCCGGUUUAACCAUGGGCGGCCGUUGUCCGCACCCAGGUCCAGACUUUCAGGGGCACAGGCCCCGCCACUCUGACGAAGUCGUCAUGUACGUAUGUUGAACGUCUUUCGCACCGUACAUAGCCAACCAUGCUGAUCGGAGGUGCGGGGAAAGGACAACAAACUAAACACAAAAAGCAGUUGUGAAGAACGUGAGUUUCCAAUCUAUGAGCCCCACGUGCCGCCGGGCCACUUGGCCAUCGGGAAUCCAAAAGAAAUCUCUUUACGAGGGGCCUGGAUCGGGAACGAGCCGGCUGACGGCUCGUUUACAAGGGGGACAAGCGUCUGUCCCUCUGACCAUCUUUCCGCGGGACCACAACAUUAAUCUGCACGCGGAGCCCCGCACGCAGGGAUGGCGCCGGCGUUAUUGAGCGUCCGCUCUCAAGCACGCAAGCUGCGUCGCUCCGCGUACGUCUUGCGUACAAGUGCACCCCGCUCCGUUUGGCGAAGGGCGCAUCACUUAUUGCUGCGCGUGCUUCGCGGAAGCACGUGGUGUUGCGGAAUGCCCCGAUCGUGCGAAGUGAACCGAAGUCGCCGAGUUUGUGUUCACGCCACGCACAGCUCACAAACACAGCUGCACACGCACUCACAAACACAAAUAUCCCCUGUACGGUCUUGCAGGUGAUAGGCAUGUGCGGCCAGUACCGUGCCCAGCCACAUUUCUCUCCCAAGUGCCGAGUUUCACAUUCCGUAGAAUGUGCCGAUUAAGGCUGAGUCGCCCUAGGAGGACAGACACCACACACCACUGUCAAUGCACACCCUGGCUGCGAAUGGAACUCGAGGGUGCCGGUAUCGUAGUGCAGUGCGCACAACUCCCGCACGACCGUGCCCCCAAAAGCAACAACAACCAACACAGCUCUCAGCAUGAAAUUGUGCCGAUGCCAACACAGCGCUCAUGCCAGGCGAGGUGCACUUUCAGGACGCGUGGAGUGGCGAAGACUCAUUGGCAAGAUGCUGUGGAACGGACCCAAAUGUUACGGGUGAUGUAACCUGCGUGACUUAGCUACUCUGAAACGUGAACGCAUACCCACACGUGUGAUCAAGCAUACACUCAAAGUCCACCACACAGGGGGGUCUACUACAAACCUAUUUUCUGUAUUUCAUGCUCCAGGUACCGCCUCAUAGACAUGCAGGUGGGCAUCUCGCACACUCUACACAGCUCCAUCCCCCACAUGAUCCACCAACUCCACUUUCACACCACGUGACGACGGGCAUGCGAAAUAGUCCGCACAUUGACCUAACAUUGCUGAUCGUGCCAACGAUUCAACGUGUGAUAACCUCUCGGAUGGAGAUCCCGGAAUCCGAAUCUUUUAUUUAUGCUGGAGAAAUUCGAUCAGCUACGUCCAGUUUCACAGAUGGGCCAAUCUGCUCAACCCAUCAUACCUCGAGGGCUGACAAAAUGAGCACCGAUUUUUCGAAAAUCUGACAUUGAUUGGAUCGUCAGAGUUGACUAUUGGGUGAGAAUCAGAAUAUUUAUUUAUCCUGGCGAAAUCCGAUGAGCUAUCAAGCUCUUCUUUACAGAUGUCCAAUAGGGGCGGGUCAGGGUUAGGUCACGCAAUGGCAUUGCAUGGCCUAACGUGACAAUCAACCACGAAUCAUCAUAUCGGCUGUGAAUACCUGCACAUUCAAUGACAGUGGUCAUCCUAUGGAUAGACGUAUCCCCAACCAUAACACUGUGGAAUUGUCUCCACUGGUUCAGUCAAAUCUGUAACAGGACACGGGUACCUCCACCACGCUUGUUUGGCCAGGAAACCACUUUCGACUUCUUCCUUUUUGCCAGUCCGAGAUGUCGGGUUUUUUUAAUACAAUCUGAUCCUGAUCAUUGUAGUCCUGAGCGCACAAUUACAACAUUCCCUCCCUCCACGGCAAAAGCAUUUCACCACGCCGCAAUGGAGCCGGGGUUAAGACCAAUAGACAGAUCUGCACUCACGCGCGCGCUUACACGCGUGCACGCGCGCACACAUAUAUAUUUUCUCCGGGCGACAUCAAGAAAAGCACAAGGCGACAUUAACACGCCAGGUCUCAGGGACCACGCGUCGCGCCAAUAAUUCACCGUACACACCACUUGUAGGCCACAAUAAAGGUUGAUGAAUCACAUCAUCAAAUCUCACAGCGUGAUAUUUUAUUCAUUCUACAAAAUAUCCCACUAAACUCCUCGCAGCCUGCGCCCGUGAUUGAUUGUGCCUCCCGCGCGCCGAGUGGGAGACUGAAACCAGUACAUGAGCGCGGAGAGAGAGAGAGAGAGAGGGAGACGGAGAGGCGGGGCGAGCGGGAAAGAAGACUCCCGUCCGCGUGCGGCACGGUUUUAUUUUGCUCCGCGGGGAAAGUCGCAGCGUGGCGUUUCCCCCGAUUAGACGGGUGCGCGAUGAUUGUGCCGGAUAGAGUCACCGGAUUUUUCAGCGUUGUAGCUCCUGAGAGGCCACGGAACAAACUCCGCAGGAUCUCCCUCCAAUGUCUCUUGGCUUAGCGCACGCCAUGAGGCGGCGUGGCUUCGUGCCGAGCGAACGCCGCCGCACCUGCGUUCACCGGCGCAGCUCGACGUGGGUCACGAGGCAGGCGAGGGCAGCGCCCUGCGGACGCCAAAUAACCUGGAGCAGUCACGCGGCCUGUCUUGUCGCGAGUCAAACGCAGGGGGCGGUGCCUCCGCAACCAAAACGCGAGCCGGCUUGAAAAAAAAA
Petromyzon marinus (sea lamprey) is the source of this 3095-nucleotide non-coding RNA. Lineage: Eukaryota; Metazoa; Chordata; Hyperoartia; Petromyzontiformes; Petromyzontidae. The record is from RefSeq and is a predicted model, not a curated record.